UGAGUGCGCGUGUUUGCGUACAUCUCCUCUCUUAUUUCGAAAACAAGGAUGGUAUUUUUUCAUUAGUUCUCCCUCAUCAAACCAAGCAGACAAUGCGAUAAUAGGAUUAACGGUAUAAUUCAAUUAUCUAUUUAGCUGUAUGAUUUCAUUUGUCUUUUGCGGAUCGAUAUACCACGGCUGAUAUGAUUCUUCCAUAUGAACGGAUAAAUUGUUCCGGAAAGUUACUCCCUAUUGGAGAAUGCAAAACAAUAAUACCAUUACACUUCUAAUUAUCUAAUCUAACGUAUAUAAGGUUCCAAAUCAAUUGGUUCCUUAGAAAAUAGGCUAUUGUUCUGCAAAAUAUGUAAGCUUGUUAUCAAACAAUGAAUCUAAAUAGGUUAUUGAAUUAUACAGCCAAUCUCCUAUUGUUUGCUUGGUUUGAUGACAAGAAAACAAAUGAAAAAAUACCUUCCUUAUUAUCAAAAUAAGGCAGGAGUUCUACGUACACACGCACACUCAAUGCAAGCCACUCGAUCUGAUGCCGAUAGACGCGCACCAGAGCACACGUACAUGGAGAGAGAUAAUGGAGAAAGGUUUAAACGAAGGUACUUGAGGAUAAAUAUGGGAGAACGUAUUACGGACAUCCACUAUCACGAAAUUCCUUUCGUAAUAUACUAAAUGGGUAAUUAGCGUUACGCACCAAAUUAUUUCAUCCAAAUAUCAAUAUUUAAGAAAAACUCUAAUUAAGUAUUACGAAUAUUUUUUAUGUAUAUGUCGUGAAUAUUUCGGCAAACAGUUUGAAAUAUAGAAUUCAAUACUUCUACCUUUUUAAUUAUAUCGAAUGGUUAUUUAAUUUAAAUCGAUGGAACAACAAUGACGUGACGUGGACUUUCUAUUUCACGUUUAAUUUAAAAGUAUUCCCCUGCUAAUGGUAUUACUUUGAAAAAAGAUGAAUCUUUUGAUCGUCCCUGUCUGUUCAAUUAUUUUAUAUGAUAAACGUCCCUCAGUUUCAUUUUAAUUCCCCUGUGAUCCUUGCCCCGCGUGGAACGUCGGACGGCUCAUCGACAAAUCUUUUUGAGCACAAUCGCUUAUACCCUCCAACUGAAGCAGCUCACGGUUAGAUGCUUUGAAGAAGGAAGGUCCCUCCCAUUUCCCCGUACGAGGGUUCCAAGUUUUAUAAAACAGCGCCAUAUUGGUCUUUCGAAACUUCGUCGUCAAGCACGGAUAUACUAAACCAACGGAAGACGAAAGCAGUUCCAAUAGCCUGGAUGUAUUGCAAAGGAGCCGAAUUGACUUAUAUUUGAAUUGUAAUUCCAAAGAAGAACAACGCUCCACCAGAUAAUAUAACAUUGCAUAUCCAAAGUGAAACACAUUUUCAUUGACACUUUCUGUUCUUCCGUACAUCCGACUAUACGUCCUAUAUGGAUAGUACAAAUCAAGCCAGACCAUCAACGAGAUUAAUAUAUGGAAACAUUUUCCUUUUUACAUUUAUGCUUAAAUGGAAAAUCAAUCAAUGCUGUGUUUAUUGAAUGGUAAGAUAUUUUAGACAUAAGAUAAAUUUUUCAUUCUAAAAUGUAAUGUGGACUAUACAAUCUAUAUCGUAUCUAUAUACCUUAUAAUAAUUUAUUGAAUAUCUUCGAAGAUUUUAUACAGUCGAAGAAAGUAUUUUUAUUUACAAGUGAAUUUAUCACAAAUAUUCGAAAUGGUAUUAAACCCAAAUUGGAGUAAUUAUCCGGUAAUUUCUAUAAUAUGGAAAUGUUAUUUUCUAAUAAAUCUUAUGCAAAUAGCUACUGCUAAAUUUUGAAGAAGAUUGAUGGAAUAAUGGAAUGACUAGAGAUAAUGGUGUUUAAACCGUCUUUGUUAUUUGUAAAGCUGUUCUUUCGGAAGUAUGGUAGCUAGGGAUUAUUUCGCGUAUGACACACACUUGCGUAUUA
Molecule: long non-coding RNA, 1913 nt
Organism: Vespula vulgaris
Lineage: Eukaryota; Metazoa; Arthropoda; Insecta; Hymenoptera; Vespidae
Exons: 2
Source: RefSeq, a predicted model, not a curated record